GGCAAGAAGGAGAAAGGUAGGGGAAAAAAAAAAGAGAAGAGGAAGUUUCCCAAAUCUCCCAAACUUUGAUUUCAACCAAAACAAACCCAAAACAAAAAUACCCAAAUUGUCUUUUGAACUCUCUUUCUCUUCAAUUCUUUUACGUUUUGCUUCAAUGAACUGAAACAAUUAAUAUGGUUUUACUCACUUAACCAGAAAAGAAAAGAAAAGAAAUAAAAAA
Hibiscus syriacus is the source of this 220-nucleotide long non-coding RNA. RefSeq lists it as uncharacterized. The record is from RefSeq and is a predicted model, not a curated record. NCBI's taxonomy places the organism in Eukaryota, Viridiplantae, Streptophyta, Magnoliopsida, Malvales, Malvaceae. The transcript is spliced from 3 exons.